Molecule: long non-coding RNA, 9134 nt
Organism: Dromaius novaehollandiae (emu)
Lineage: Eukaryota; Metazoa; Chordata; Aves; Casuariiformes; Dromaiidae
Exons: 7
Source: RefSeq, a predicted model, not a curated record
CGGAAGUUUUAAAUAUCAUCUGUGUGCUGUACCUGAUGUCAUGGCUUCUGUCAGUCACUUCUAUUUAAGAAACCCGAAGAAUAGCAGAGGAUAAUGAGAGCUGUGGGACUUUCCUUGUCAUACUGACAGGUUAGCGGAAGCAGUGUAAAGAGGAAACCAUUUAAAUUCUAAGCAGUAUGAUUUUGGAUUUGGAAUAGGAAAAACAAAAAGACAGGCACAGUGUAUAUCACUUACAUGCUGAUCAUCCAUAUCCUGAAUACCAUCACUCUCUUUCCCAUUAAUUGUAGGAUUUUUGCAGAAGUUAAUAGGAGAUGAGUUGCUGUCACUCUUACUGUGUCCUGGACUUCUUAUGCUGCUGUCAGUGUUGGGCCGUGAAGAGACAAAGAGGCUGAUAUUAUCAAAAUCAUCAUCACAGAAACUGUUUUCCGCUAUGUCCUUCUGCACCUUGGCCGGAUUGUAAGGCUUCAGGAAGGAGGAAUACACAUACCCUUUAAGGACUAGAUAUCGGAAUAAGAGAGAAAAAUAAAGAUUUCAAAACCAACCAUUUCAUGCAGCUGUCAGUAUGACAGAGGCAAACAGAUGGGGCCAGAAUGAGCAGAAAUCAACAGCCCAAAGAAAAGCUGCUAUUGGGAUGUUUAUACAAAUAACUUACUUCCUGUGUCAACAAGCCAUCUGCUUGUACUUCCGAAGGGGUCCUUUUGCUCCACAACAGCCACCAGUUCUCCUUCAUGUAAAUCAAUAUCGAAUUCCUGUGUGGCAUUGCAUUUGCGCUUAGCUUGAUACAGCAGUUCUGCACUGUACAUAGACAACAGCUUGGACCUGUGAUCUUCUGUUUGAUGUGGGGUUUCGAGCUGAAAAGAAAGGCCAUUUCUAGAGCAACAAGGAUGCAUAAAAGAAACUAGUGUAUACUGUAUGUGGCCAUAGGCUCUGUAUUUUUUACAUGCAGAUCAAGGAAUUAUUUAAAUUUAUAUUAUAUAAAAAAAUCAGUAGUCUCCAAGUGGUCUUCUGUUUGUAUGAAAUUACCUUGCUCUGUAAGGGCGAGAUGCUAUGAACUGCUUAAACCACAUCCAGUCACGGUUUGCUAAGAGGGCGGAGAGGGAGGUGCUGCACACCAGUGUGACCAUAGCACAUCACACUAGCAAUAGCAUCUGUGUCUUAUUGAUGCUAAAAGGAAUCCUGCAGCUUCCUUGGUUUCUCCAGUAAAUCUGCACCUGAGUUUUUAUUUUACUGUAAACUAGAUUCCUAAAAGCUUUGGUAGUGUCUAAUUAGAUGGGGAACUAGGCACACACAGAUUUCCUGCUGGAUUUUCUGCAUCUCCUGAUCUGGGUGUAUGUAUAUAUAUAUGUGUGUGUGUGUGUAUAUAUGUGUUUUUUAUAUACGUUAUGUAUAAAUAUACACACAGAAAUACACAAAGGAUCAUAGAUGAAAAAGAGAAGCAAAAAGUUGUUAAUCAAAAGAUUAAGAUGCACAGUAAGACUAUUGAAAAAGAGAAGCAAUUGAACUUUGCAUGUACAGUCUUACAGUUAACGUGCUUAAAGACCUGAGGAUUGUCAGAGAUGAUUUCAGGUCAAGUUUCAAGAUACUAACAUGAAAAGAGAGCGGAAAACCUUCAGAAAUUACUGGUGAAUGGAAAAGCCUCAUUCCAACAACCCAAUUCAGGUUCCCAAUGAAGGGACCCAGCACAAACCUCUAGGUGGCAUAAAACCAGAUUUGUUUCAAAAGUGAUCAAAAGAGGAUGCUUCAUACACGAUUCAAAAGUAUGACACAAACCAGAGUUGGGACAGGCUUCUUUUUUUCCAAGCUCAAUUUUCUCUCAAUAAAGGUUGCACUGCUGUUUUCUUUUACAAAAUUCAGCUUGUGAACCUCCUCCAUCAACUGAUUCUGCACUUCACAGAUGCUUGAGGAAGACAGCUGCAAACAAAAAGGUGGAUUAGAUCUCACGAACAAGAUGCUACAAGUGAGUGUGAAGUGCUGUGUUCAACCCCUGGUGGAAGGGAAUACUCCAGAAAGACCUAACUACAGUGUGUUUCAUAUGUAGAGUCUUGUCCAGUCACAGUCACCUAAACACGGCUCCACUUCAGGUCCAGCUCUUCUCCUGUUGACCUCUGAAGGUAGCUGUUAUAGUCCAACAACUUGUCGUAGCGCUUCUGGAUGAGCUUCUGUGGGCCUGGAAACAAGGCUUGUAGUGCUAAGAGGGGAGCCAAAAUGAGCUUGUUCAAUUGAGCCAUCUGGAAAGGAGAAGAUGCAAAGAACACCAUGGAUUGUUCAUUGAGAACAUCUGCUCAUUAUGCAAGGGCCUUUCACAGAUUCGGGCACACAAAUAUGAAACCAUUUGAGACCAGACACUUUGAUGUCACUUGCUGUAAUCUUGUGUGAAAAUGCCUGAGAUGAUGAAAACCUUGUCAUCAGUCCUUGCCUUGGGAAGAGUGAGUUAAGGCUUCAACAUGGCAAGUCUGUAACUUCUGGAUUUGUUGCAUUUCAGUGCUGCUGACCUGCUGGAUGUCCAGAAACUGCAGCCUUGAUAUUAACUCUCCUUUAUGGCUUUUCAAAGAUGCAACAUUUGGCUCAGAAGUCCCUUAACCACAACUUAUUGGAGGCUGGGUGAGUGUUCUGGCAAAGCGUUGUUAUAAGCUUGUUCUCUUCUGAUGUUCUUCCAGCCACUGUCAGAGGGAAUAUCCUGGGAAAGAUGGACCUCAUAUACUUAGGGCUACAGAAAGGUCGUCACUUUAGAAAUAGCUUUACAUGCAAACCUAAUGUAUGUUGAGCAGGUUUACAAAGGCCUGCGCAAAAUUAUUUAAGAGUGCCUGGAUUUCAAAGACCUCACUGUGUUGUUGAGAAGCACUCCUGAGAACUUCAGAACUCUCUGAGCGCAUUUAAUAGACAACAAGGUGAUAAUAAAGGGCUCUGAAUGGGUUGGCAAGCAGAUUAAAUCGCUUCACAAAGUACAAGUUUUGGAAGAUGCAGCCAAGCUAGUGCACUGGUUAAUUAGCAAACCAGACAGUUACAGGAAUUAAAACUGGAAGUCUUUAUCACUUAUAUCCUGGAGAAAUCUAUGGGUUAUGCUGAAACAAAAUGCUUGUGUUCUUAACAUUUCCAAAUGUACAGUUCUAAGUGUGUUUAAGAUAAAGAUAUUUAAAAGCUUAUUUUACAUCUGAAAAAGGCAUAGUACUUACUCUUCCUCGUAUAUCUUUCUGCAAAAGGAGAAAAAGAAAACAUAUAUUAGCUUUGUCCUGAAAGGAUUUAUACCAAUCAUGGGCCAGAUUCCCAGAUACACUUCAGUGACACAGAGCAGCCAUAACUGGCCAGUUAAGUUAGCUUUAUGGCUGCUGUGUGUCAGCAGAAUUGCACAAAACAGCCAGAGGGUACCAGUGAAUCUGGCCCUACAUCUUUGUGAAAAGACAGCCCAAAUGAGAAAGGAUUGUCAGGAACCUGGCUUUAGUUACCCUUCUCCUAACAGUAUUAAAACCUGUUAUUCUCAUACAGUUAAAACACAUAAUCCUUAGGCUUUAUAAACAUCCCCCUCUAUUUUAUUUAAACAGAAAUGUAUUUCUAAAUGAGAAAGAAUGUAUUUCAGCCUUUUAGGAUAUAGAUUCAAUGAUGAUAUUAAGGUUUUUUUUGUAGGAUACACAUCAGCUGAAACCUCUUUAUAGUUGAAUAGUGUCUAUAUAUGUAGUCAAAACAGCACAGAGAUACAGCUGUAGUUUGAAAACACUCAGAUAUGCACAAAGAAUAUUUUUUUAAUGGUAUGAUUAAACUUAGAGAAGAUCACCUAACUGCAUGGGAACCAAAAUGUCACCCCAUCACUAUGUUAGACUUUUCUGGUAUUAAGUCCUGACAUCACAUUGUCAGCCACUGCUAUCUGACUGCUUCCACUAAUACCUCCUUGCCCACUAAGGGCUAACUGAGCAUCUGGAAGCUGGUGCUUUCAUUGCUUCUGCACUGUCAGCUCUGGGAGUGCCUGUGAUAUCUCUGCCUUUGUAAUAGUUGACCAAGCUAGUUCAGACUGAAAGCAGAGCAGGUAGUUGCCAGCAUCCUUUCAUUUUUACCAGCUGCAUUUCCUUGGCUAAGUUAGGAAACAACAUCCCCAGCUUGCAUGAUCGCUGCUGAAACACGGGAUUCUACAGAACUGGUUUUUACAUGUAUCUCCAAGGCAGACACCUACAUUUUGGGAAAGAAUUCCUCCUCUUCAGUCAGCAGAAAGAAUAGGAAUAUAAGCCUGGCUAAUUAAAUCUGAUUUGCCUGUACAGAUGUGCAGAGUGCCACUCUCAAGAUGCUCCUAAUAUAGAAGUCAUUUUUAACAUGGCACGUGUGGCUUAGCUGAAGAAGAGAAGCCCACAGUAAUGCCAGCCCACUUUAACUUUUUAAAAAUAUGACAAUAUUCUUCUCAAGGAAAAAAUAUUUAAGAAGUAAACAUUGUUCAAGAGUAGCAGUCAGUGGCCCCUGAAUACAUUGUAGCUCACAAUGGAAAACAGUCAGUAACUUAUUUGGUAAGAAUGCUGCAUAAAUUUCCUCCUAAGACAAGUAUUCUCUAAUCAGUAGUAACAGGUUUAGAUAACCACAGCUCCACAUUUGAAUGUGUACUUUCAGGCUUAACAUUUCAAUUGGUUGCAAUUUUUAGCCACUGGGAAAAAAAUACAAUAUAAUACAUGUAAUGGUGGUUUUUUUCCAUUGGUUCCUGUUUAAAGGCUAAUAGGAAAGAAUGAGAUAAAAAAGGCUUCAUUGUGAGGUAGUUUUUGUCACUUCCUGCUAGCCAAGGCUACAAUGGCUCAGCAGAAAAUAUCCUUUCUGUUCACAAAUCCCGGCUGUGAUAUUGGAACAGGAGCUUCUCUUACUGGCUCUAGAAUUGAAGUAGCAACAUCCACCCUAACAUGUACAUAGGUGCUAUCUUUUAACUUUAUUUCCUUCCACAGUCUCUUGCCUCAGCAGUAGGGAUGAGUGAAUGACAGCUGCAGCUUCUCUUGAUUAGCUGGAAAAAAAUAUUGUAGGAGUCAGCAACUGAAACACCCCCUUAGGGGAGAUACCUGGCCAUCCAUUAGCCUGAAAGCCUGAGUUUAUCUGAAAAUCUAUUUCUUCCAACUUCCAGGGUAGCUAAAGCCUAAGCAUCCUCCACACGUACUUUGUUAUGUAUUUAAUAACCAGACAUGUUGCACAAGGAAGCCUUAUUUUCAACACAACCGGUCUUCUAAGUAAACAUUUCUCUUUUGAUUUGUUAAUGUUUUUCUCUACCACCAUUUCCAGAUUUCAUUCAGAUAUAUUUCCUAUGUCCUAAGUCUUAGCACCUCUCUACAGACUGAUCAUUAGCUGAGGUAUAAUUGAAAUGCCUGUCAUUGAUAUACGUGCCAUUAAUUAAGUAUUUGUGAUAGCUUUAUAUCUCUCCUAGAAGCAUGCAGGCUUUUCUAGAGCUCAACUUCUGAUCUGAAAGGCAGCGGUCUGCUCCCUUUUGACAGUUCUGUGCUACAUUUUUGAGAAAAUGAGGGGGAAAGGGAAUUUGCAGGUGGAAAGAGAAGAGCUCUCCGUGGAAAAGGUGAGGUGGUUCACGUGACUGGGUUCAGGAAGAAGUCACGCUGGAGGAAAGAUCCAUUACUUUGCUGCACUCCAGUUCUCGACAGGAUUUUUCUAUGGAGCUGGAGCUGGAGGCAAAGAAACUAAGCAAAUUCCGCUGUCUGGACAUGACAGCUUCGUUCAACACCAGCCACUUUCGAAUAUCCCCAUCACGAGGUAUCCAGCACUGCAAUAACUCCAAAUCCCUGGGGCCUUACAGUAUAGCUGGGGCACAGAGACACCAUCCCGUAUGAUUUUAAUUCAAACAAUAGAAUUGCUGAAAAUGGGGGCAGUACGUUUCCUGGAGCUGGGCAAGGUGUUCCCAACAGCCCAUUAUAUGAUGCAGCAUUUUUUUUGCCAGUAUGGGGCACUGAAGCUAAAGGAACAGAAACCUUUCUUGUGCUAUUUUUGGCCAUCUUAGAGAGAAAGAAAUCUAAUCAUGGCCCCUGGCUUGUCAUCUUUUCAUGAAAGCAGCAUAAGCCAGAGCUCCCAGCAAGCCUUAUAAAACUCUGGAUUUACAGGGGACCUUUCAUCUACAUCCAUUUAAAAUGUUCCCUGCCAGGCAACUGACUAUGGACGGAAAUCAUCAUUUGAAAAGAUCUUACUUUAAGGACUGUACACAGUGUCUUAAAUGCUGCUUCAGUUCUUCAUCCUUUUCAUAGGAUUCCAGCAUGGUGUGUGCAUCAUCGUGGCGAUAGCAGUAGAUUUUAUAUGUGUCUUCUAGUGGGCCUUUAAUCUGCAAGAACACUUCCCCUGUUAAAGAGAAAAACAAAGCGUGUCAAGCCAGACAACCGCGUCUCAGAAGGAGUUUUAUUAUUCCACCACAUUAGCCGUGAGCUAAAAAGACUGGUUUCCACUUUACUUUCCUUAGAAAUGAUCUUGUGUGUUUAUGUGCAUUAUUUAUUACAUGUAUUUCUCAGCUGCUCAUCUUUGUCAUAGCUGGGCACCAUUACAGCAGUGUUAAUGCACAAAAAUUCUCUUAGGAAAAGGGAUGAAAUCGCCACACCCUGCACCCCUUCAUACACAGCCCCCUAAUUCACUGCCCCAGCUGAAUGCCUCUUACAUGAAAACCAAGCAGGAGGGCUUAGCUCUUAAGGGGUGACCAUUUUUUGUUCUGGGCUGUAAGCAUGUUAAUUGUCCUUUUGACUUUUUUUCAACUGAAUAUGAACUUAAAUGAGUUGUAACAGGAAUAACGACGCCAUCUCCCAUUAGCCAUUUCACUUCUAUCAUCUGUUUUGCAGAAUCCCGAAAUGGCAAUUGUUACAGCCAUAAAAAAAAACAUGUGAAAAAACCAUGUGAAAAAAACAUGACAGAAGAACAAGCUCCACCUGUCCCCUAAUUAAAUAAAACCACUGUGGAUUGCAGCCAUUUUUAUACACAAUUUGGGUUUACAUACAACUGAAAGGGAGAAAACAUUUACAUUUCCAGUCCUCUACAACACCAUUUUUUCCCUCAAAGAACAGUUGGGAUUUUUAGAGGCACUAAAGUAGUAAUAUACCCAUUUUCUAUUGAAUUCUGGUGCCUAAUUCUCGCAGCCUAAAACUCUUGUGCUGGUUUCUGUGUAUCUAAGAAAUAUUAUGCAAGUGGAAAAGGCAUGCUUCCUCUCUUUCGCUGAGAUAUUCGUUCUUACACCCAUAUGUAAGAGUACCCUGAUCAACAUCCUUGGAAAUGCAUAUAAUAAAUAGCAACAACAGUGAAAACUACUGUCUCAAGCACUUACUGAAAAAUUACAUCUGUAUGGUAACCAGUCAGAUGUUUUCUAAACAUCCCUGUUGAGUUAUAGCAAUGAUUAUUAAAGUUAAAAGCCGAACACCACAUUAAUUGGGAGCUCUCUAUUCAUUCGCAGAGUGAGCACAAAGCUGUCAGGCAUCCUGCAUGUUUCAUCCUGACCAGAGUGGGCUGUUUCAUAAUACAUUGCAUUGAACUGCUCUGUCUUAAAGUGAAAAAUGAUUCAGUUACCACAGUAACACAGCUCUGGGUUUUUUCCCCUAGCAGCGAAGGUUAACUGGGCUGUCUAAUGCAUGUUGGUUUCAAGGUGUGAAUAAGGGAACAACAAUGACUGAGCUAAGACCACGGAAGUUCGUUUAGUUACUGUAAGGCCACGGUCGGAAAAGCACCAGCAUCCUAUAGUCAAAUGUUCUUUAGCUGUCUCUCAUCUCUGUCUUCUCUGUCUCGUGCUAAAUGUUAAUGCUGACUCCUGAAAAUGCACAUUUGCAUCCUGGCUUUCCCAUGAACUCGCUAUACAGGCCUUUAUUAACCAACAUUGUAAGGGAAAUCAUAACAAGCUUUCCUGUGAUUCUGCUCCCUCGGGGCCUGAUUUUCAGAGAUGCUGAGUUCUCACAAUUUUCACUAACUUCAGCCAGAGGUCAUGUUUUCUGUAGCCAAAAUGCAAACUAUAGACUUACUGUUCAUUUCAGUGUACACUAGAGGCAGAGAAUUAUCAUCCUCUCCUCCAGAAUAAAGGAGAUGAGCAAUAUCUGUUCAUUAAUGCAUUGUCCCAUAAUGGCAAAUAUUUUCAUUGAUGCUAAAUGAUGAGAAAAAUGAUGUGCUGAUUUCAUAGACAGGUCCUUCUCAGAGCAGGCAUAUUUCUUAAGCCUAAAGCUCUUCUUGGUCCCAAGCCGUAUGGCCUGAAUCAGCUGAGCUGGGCAUAUCACUGUGGGAGCUUGCUAUAUGGGCCAAAAAUGGAUUGUAUUUGGGCACAGGCUUAAAUAUACGCUGAAUCUUUUGCACAGUCUGAUGAAUCCAGCUUUGCCUGAUGCCUAUUCUUGAGUGUGAUGGUCAGACAGUCUUGAAGAGAAAAUCCUAGGGAGAAGACUUGAGCAACAGAAACAGUUUCUCCCUAGGGCUUUCAGUAGUGCUUUCUGUUUCGACAGCAGAGGGAGAUGGAGGAAGGAGGAGUCAAAUAAUGAAAGCCAGGGUAAGAUCUAAACCAUCAUAUUCCUCCACAUGCAGUGACUAGAACAGAGAGGGGGAAAAAAAGUGAGAGAGAACUGGAAAGGGCAAUUUUCUCUCUGCUGUGCAUAGCUUUAAAAGACCAAACAACACAAGAGAUGUGUCUACAUUAGCAUUUUAGCUCAGAUUAGGAGAGUGCACUCAGUAGUCCCUGUUUCCCUGUUUCGCUUGCACAGUGGAACAGUUGCAGACACGCAAACUGUCUUCUUUGGGGGUGGCAAGUACCAGAAAAUGCACUCUGAAGGCACAUCUUAUGAAGUCCAGCCAUAGAAGGGACCUCUCAGUCCACAGGUACGGGUUAAAGCUAAUCCGAAGUAAACGCCCUAAAACGUGUAGUAUCGACGUCUGGUCUUUAGCACGAACUGUUUUGCUCUAUACAUCUGCUCCCAUUGGACCCCACUGCUUGUUAAUGUGGACAUAGCCUGAGAUGCACAGAGCAUACCUCAACCUCACCAUGACUGGGGUGCCUUCCAAAAGAAGAUUUUUCAGUGCAAGAUGUUUAAAUACCAUAAACCUGCUGGAAUAGGAUGGGUAUGUUAAAUAGAUUAUCUUCAGCCCCCUUUUUACAGAAAUUGGCUUUAACAACCUUUACACUGACUGUGAGGAUCCUGAAGACAAAAUGGUCAUCUACUAUACUUUCA